RNAcentral lists this unclassified non-coding RNA (163 nucleotides) under uncultured Cordyceps. Its description in RNAcentral is "sequence contains ITS1". The record is from RNAcentral. Lineage: Eukaryota; Fungi; Ascomycota; Sordariomycetes; Hypocreales; Cordycipitaceae.
CCGAGUUAUCAACUCCCAAACCCCUGUGAACAUACCUAAAACGUUGCUUCGGCGGGACCGCCCCGGCGCCCACAGCGGCCCGGAACCAGGCGCCCGCCGGAGGACCCAAACUCUUGUUUAAAUUUAUAGUGGCAUAUUCUGAGUCUCACAAACAAAUGAAUCA